CCAAGAUUUUGCCCAAAAUGCCCCCAG
Molecule: transfer RNA, 27 nt
Filed under: Galeorhinus galeus (tope shark)
Lineage: Eukaryota; Metazoa; Chordata; Chondrichthyes; Carcharhiniformes; Triakidae
Description: partial tRNA-Pro
Source: RNAcentral